ACCAGACUCCUACGGGAGGCAGCAGUGGGGGAUAUUGCACAAUGGGGGGAACCCUGAUGCAGCGACGCCGCGUGGGUGAAGAAGCGCCUCGGCGCGUAAAGCCCUGUCAGCAGGGAAGAAAAUGACGGUACCUGAAGAAGAAGCCCCGGCUAACUACGUGCCAGCAGCCGCGGUAAUACGUAGGGGGCAAGCGUUAUCCGGAUUUACUGGGUGUAAAGGGGGCGCAGACGGCGAUGCAAGCCAGGAGUGAAAGCCCGGGGCCCAACCCCGGGACUGCUCUUGGAACUGCGUGGCUGGAGUGCAGGAGGGGCAGGCGGAAUUCCUGGUGUAGCGGUGAAAUGCGUAGAUAUCAGGAGGAACACCGGUGGCGAAGGCGGCCUGCUGGACUGCAACUGACGUUGAGGCCCGAAAGCGUGGGGAGCAAACAGGAUUAGAUACCCUGGUAAA
Molecule: ribosomal RNA, 447 nt
Filed under: uncultured bacterium
Lineage: Bacteria
Description: bacterial SSU rRNA
Rfam family: Bacterial small subunit ribosomal RNA
Source: RNAcentral